UACGUAGGGGGCAAGCGUUAUCCGGAUUUACUGGGUGUAAAGGGAGCGUAGACGGUGAUGCAAGUCAGAAGUGAAAGCCCGGGGCUCAACUCCGGGACUGCUUUUGAAACUGUUGAUCUUGAGUACUGGAGAGGCAGACGGAAUUCCUAGUGUAGCGGUGAAAUGCGUAGAUAUUAGGAGGAACACCAGUGGCGAAGGCGGUCUGCUGGACAGCAACUGACGGUGAGGCGCGAAAGCGUGGGGAGCAAACAGG
This 253-nucleotide ribosomal RNA is filed under the name uncultured Eubacteriales bacterium. RNAcentral describes it as "uncultured Clostridiales bacterium partial 16S ribosomal RNA". It matches the Rfam family "Bacterial small subunit ribosomal RNA", at positions 524 to 776 of the family's 1533-position model. The record is from RNAcentral. Lineage: Bacteria; Bacillati; Bacillota; Clostridia; Eubacteriales.